Molecule: non-coding RNA, 103 nt
Organism: Bactrocera oleae (olive fruit fly)
Lineage: Eukaryota; Metazoa; Arthropoda; Insecta; Diptera; Tephritidae
Source: RefSeq, a predicted model, not a curated record
AAAAAAUAUUUUUACGGUGUUGAACAUAUUAAUAUCAUUGUACUAAAAUCAUUUAAGCAGUGUAAGCAAGUGAGCACGUAUUCGAGAUUUUCCUAAACGGAAA